Molecule: unclassified non-coding RNA, 3010 nt
Filed under: Leishmania donovani
Lineage: Eukaryota; Euglenozoa; Kinetoplastea; Trypanosomatida; Trypanosomatidae
Description: gene:LdHU3.25.1500(CDS-product:hypothetical_prote in_conserved)
Source: RNAcentral
CGGCUGCUCUCUUACGAGUCGGCUGCUGCUGCAUCCCUUUCUCUCUCUACUCUGUUCUUAAUUCGCGCAACGGCAAGUCGUGCAUCGCUAUGCCCAAAGGCCCUCGCACGGCCGAGGUGUCGCGGCGCCUCGUCGAUGCCUACGUGACAACAUUGCGGCAACAUCUCCCAACGUACUGUAUUCGGCAGCUCGACAAACUGCCAAGGGCUGAGGAGCACCAGCUCACUCGUCUACGCCAGUCCUACCCCGGCACUCCGGCGGAGCUGCUGUACCUUCUCCAGCGUGUGAACGGCACGUGCUGGGAGACGCUGCAAGCCCCACCGGGCUCCGUGCAACCGUCGGCUGCCGCGGCGCAGCCGCACGCACCAUCGGCGAGUGCGAUGGUGACAGUGACCGCAGGGAAAAGCGGUAGUGCGACGUCCACCACGUCUACCACCACCACCACCACGACGGCACGCUCGGCUGAAGCCGGCGCGUCGCCUACGGCGCCGACCUACAAGACGGCCGCGAAGAGCGCUGCCAAGGCGACGGCUGCUGCUGCGAUGGCUUCUGAGGCGGCCGCCUUUAUAAAGUCGCAGAUUGCCAAGAAGGUGAACACAAUGGCCGGGCCGCGGCAGCGUCGCCCGCUCCCGCAUUUUGUGGCGCUGCCCAUCCUCGGCUCCACAUACACGAGCUGCCCAUACUACCUCAAGUCGGUGGAGCAGAUGCUGGUGGCAGAGCAGCAGUUCCCGCCACCUCCUGCUACGCUGCCCGAUGAAAGUGAGGGGUGGGCCCCCCCAACGGUAGCCGCCGCAACACAAUCGUCGUCGCCACCGCCUCCUUCCACACCAAAGCCGUCUUCGCCGGCGUCCACCGCCACCGCAGGCGGAGGGCUGCACGACGCUGUGUGUGUGACGGCGCAGUGCAGUGGCGAGGGCGGCGCAGCGGGCGACUCGCCACCGUCUGCCGCCAGCGGUGCUACGCCCAACGCGCACUCCAUCGCUUCCGUGUACUCGGGGUAUAAGAUUGUUUACGGCUCUCCUCCAACACUGCCGCCGCCAUCGUCGCUCAGCGCCGGCAGCGCGCUGAAUGCAGUAGCUUCGUAUGGCGCCCCUGCUGGUGAUGCGAAGACAUCCUUUGCGACGAUGCCAGCGCCGACGCCGUUCAGUGGGGAGCCGCGUGUCGUCUACGUUGACCCCCGCAUCGACAUCCACGCCAGCUUUCACCAGUGGCUCGUGUUUGCCGACAGCGUGCAACCACACGUGCGGGGCUCAACACCGAUAAUCCCGGAUGCUGAUCCUGCCAAGAUGACAGCGGCUGCUGCGACGAGGAAUGCGGCGAACAGCUCAAGGUUCUCUCCUGCGCGGGCCCCGCCCCGUGCGCACACGCCGUCGUCACCGCCGAAGCACUUUGCUGCCUCGCGACUCUACAUCGACUUCAAGCCUGUCGAGCUUCACGGCGGCAUGUAUGGGCAGGUGAUACAGUUUGUGCACGGGAAUCCGGACAGCUUCUCUGUCGUGGCAAGCGACUUCGGUGAGUACUUAAAGUACAUUAUGACAGAGGAGUACGGCUUCACAGAGGAGCUCGAGGACGACUACGAUGACGAGGGUGCUCGUGUGCCGGAGGAAAACCAGGACACGUCGCCUCUGACGGGGACGCCGCUGCCGCCCAUCAUCACAUCCGCCGACGGCCGCCCACUAACGUCACCGACUUCAUCGUUGGCCGACGUGCAGAAGAAACGGUAGCAAGAAGAAGAGGGAACGGCGCUUCGCGGAGGAAGGCGGCCGACGCGUAGGGCCGCUGCCGCCUCAAAGUGAUGUGCCUGUGCUUGCUUGUGUAGGAGUGCCGGAUGCUUUGGACGCUGUUCGCUCGUGCGUGACGUGGCUGAUACGGAGGAGGACACACACACACACACACACACACACACACACAAACGAGCCUCUCUCCUUUCGUGGUUGAGUGGGGAGGGGUGUAUGGCUGCAUGUGCGGCUCCGUUCUUUGCUCAUACGUCGCUUUCCUCUCUUGCCCCCCCCCCCUCCCUUCCCCCCUCCCAACCCUUGUGGAUAAGCGUAUGCAUGUGCGUGUGCAUGUGUAUGUAUAGUGUCUGCGCACGUGCUGCAUCUUUGGCUCGACAGCCGUGUGCUGUGUCGGCUUUUGUGCGCUCGAUGCUGGCUAGGUGCUUCUCCUUAUCUGCAGGUGUGUGUUUCCCUGUGUUGGGGUCGCACGUGAAAAGAGAACACGCACACGCAUCGGUAGAAGCUGUAUCUGCAGCGUCGUCCCUCUCUCUUCUACCAUCGACUCAUUCCCCCCCCCUCCCCCCCACCUCUGCCUCCUCGCUCCGCGCCGCUUGAUGCGAAGAGCGACACUGCUAGAGUCGAGCAUGGCGGCAACGUACGUCAUGUUGCACCACCUUCACAGGGGCCUGAGUGCAUGGGCGCAUGCGCGUUCGAGAGCGGGAGGGUUGAUCAGUGAGGAGGAGGAUGCGGGAGAAGGCAAAGGGCCAAGUGGCGGGCCAUCGGGCGAAGUGUGCAUAUGCUUGGUGUUUGGUGAGGCGUGUGCACACCUCGCCGACCCCCUAUACUUUUCACUAUCUACCGCCGCGAUGCGGGAGUCACUCUUCUCUCGCAGCUCUAUGUGUGCAGAAAGGACGUUAGUGGCCCGCGCUCGGAGAGAAGAUGCGACAGGUGCGCGAUUUCUUCGCCAAGGGGGAGUAGACACACGCGACCCUCCCCCUCCUCUCUCCUUCUCUUCCUUCCUGCGGUAUGCUUUCUUGUGGGUCAUGUCCAUGGCGCUGCUGAGUUUACAUGUGUAUCGGGAAGUUGCAUGUGUGCUUGUUGCUUCAGGACUCUCCUCCACUUCUUCUCCGCUACAUUCUCUCCAUUUUGUUGUUACAUCGCCUCCGCAUGUGCACGGAUCUUGUUGCGCGUGCGCGUCGCGUUUUCUGUUGGGCGACUGCGAGCUCCUGUGGCGUUAUCCCUCUUCUCGAUUUCUGUUGGGGCGACACUGCCUCGCGUGCCCUCCUCGUCGUAAG